This 492-nucleotide ribosomal RNA is filed under the name uncultured bacterium. RNAcentral's name for it is "partial 16S ribosomal RNA". It matches the Rfam family "Bacterial small subunit ribosomal RNA", at positions 29 to 507 of the family's 1533-position model. The record is from RNAcentral.
AGUGAACGCUGGCGGUAGGCCUAACACAUGCCAGUCGAACGGCAGCACAGUAAGAGCUUGCUCUUACGGGUGGCGAGUGGCGGACGGGUGAGGAAUACAUCGGAAUCUACUUUUUCGUGGGGGAUAACGUAGGGAAACUUACGCUAAUACCGCAUACGACCUACGGGUGAAAGCAGGGGAUCUUCGGACCUUGCGCGAUUGAAUGAGCCGAUGUCGGAUUAGCUAGUUGGCGAGGUAAAGGCCCACCAAGGCGACGAUCCGUAGCUGGUCUGAGAGGAUGAUCAGCCACACUGGAACUGAGACACGGUCCAGACUCCUACGGGAGGCAGCAGUGGGGAAUAUUGGACAAUGGGCGCAAGCCUGAUCCAGCCAUACCGCGUGGGUGAAGAAGGCCUUCGGGUUGUAAAGCCCUUUUGUUGGGAAAGAAAAGCAGCAGGUUAAUACCCGGCUGUUCUGACGGUACCCAAAGAAUAAGCACCGGCUAACUUCGUG